CGAGGCCCGUAGUAAGCCUAAAUUAUCCCAUCUGUCUACCUAUCUUGCCCAAUUAAUUCAUCAAAACAGUAAGCCUCGAUCUCAAUUAACACAUAAUAUCUAACCAGGGCCUAUUCACAAUAAAUUAUAAUCACAUUGUGGGCUUACUGGUUCACCUGCAGCUAAUUACAUAAUAUUUAAUUUAUAGUGUAGUGCUAACAAUAAGUCCAAUAGUAAUAUACAACCCUAUAACUGCGGAGUUCAAUAAUAAUCUGAUAAUAGAGUAACUUAUACAUCCAAAAUUAAAUAACAGAAAUAUAAAAUUUACAUUUAUAACUCUGCGGAGAAGAUUGCAGAGCUUCAGUCAAUCAGCUGCUUCCUAGUACCUGGGAGGUUUGGAGAGAAGGGGGUGAGUUUUGCAACUCAGUGAAUAAUAAUAAAUAAUACACACCACAUACAGUCACACGGAAUGCGCCCUAAUAUACUGAAUGAUCACACAACAAUCAAUCAUAUGGCAUAACAUCAGCACCCACAAACAAUAUCACCUUCAAAUAAUCACAUCACGUGGAAAUUAGUCAGUGGAGUCACCGAACCCCCGAUGAGCCGUCCUCCCACAUGGCUCAUCCUCUCACAUGUGCACCAGGGAGCCGAUCCCCCAUACUGGCCGACCGGUCUAAUCCUCACUUGACCAGCCCUCUCAUUGUUUUUCCAUUAUCUCUUUUCUUUUCCAUACC
Molecule: long non-coding RNA, 713 nt
Filed under: Jatropha curcas
Lineage: Eukaryota; Viridiplantae; Streptophyta; Magnoliopsida; Malpighiales; Euphorbiaceae
Description: long non-coding RNA (JCUR_LNC001974)
Source: RNAcentral